Molecule: long non-coding RNA, 205 nt
Filed under: Gopherus agassizii (Agassiz's desert tortoise)
Lineage: Eukaryota; Metazoa; Chordata; Testudines; Testudinidae
Description: lncRNA (ENSGAGG00000018826.1)
Source: RNAcentral
CCUGCCUGGAGGCGAAUGCAGCUAAAAGGACUGGAAUAGCAGAAACUGUAUGUGUGUGGGAGAGAGAGACAGACAGACAGCUGCGUCUUCAAUGAAAGCCAAAGGAUUUUGAAGACCUCAAAUCCUUAACCAAAAAGUGUUACAGGGCCCCAAUAGGACAGUCAAAUUCCUCCCACUGGGCUGGACUGCAAUAUGGCCAAGGGUA